This 468-nucleotide ribosomal RNA is filed under the name uncultured bacterium. RNAcentral describes it as "partial 16S ribosomal RNA". It matches the Rfam family "Bacterial small subunit ribosomal RNA", at positions 28 to 507 of the family's 1533-position model. The record is from RNAcentral.
GACGAACGCUGGCGGCGUGCUUAACACAUGCAAGUCGAACGGAAAGGCCCUGCUUUUGUGGGGUGCUCGAGUGGCGAACGGGUGAGUAACACGUGAGUAACCUGCCCUUGACUUUGGGAUAACUUCAGGAAACUGGGGCUAAUACCGGAUAGGAGCUCCUGCUGCAUGGUGGGGGUUGGAAAGUUUCGGCGGUUGGGGAUGGACUCGCGGCUUAUCAGCUUGUUGGUGGGGUAGUGGCUUACCAAGGCUUUGACGGGUAGCCGGCCUGAGAGGGUGACCGGCGACAAUGGGACUGAGAUACGGCCCAGACGCCUACGGGAGGCAGCAGGGGGGAAUAUUGCACAGUGAGCGGAAGCGUGAUGCAGCAACGCCGCGUGCGGGAUGACGGCCUGCGGGUUGUAAACCGCUUUCGCCUGUGACGAAGCGUGAGUGACGGUAAUGGGUAAAGAAGCACCGGCUAACUACGUG